This 301-nucleotide ribosomal RNA is filed under the name uncultured bacterium. RNAcentral describes it as "partial 16S ribosomal RNA". It matches the Rfam family "Bacterial small subunit ribosomal RNA", at positions 509 to 808 of the family's 1533-position model. The record is from RNAcentral.
CAGUCGCCACGGUAAUACAGAGGAUGCAAGCGUUAUCCGGAUUUAUUGGGCGUAAAGGGAGCGCAGGCGGUUUAGUAAGUCUGAAGUUAAAGGCAUUGGCUCAACCAAUGUAUGCUUUGGAAACUGUUAGACUUGAGUGCAGAAGGGGAGAGUGGAAUUUCCGGUGUAGCGGUGAAAUGCGUAGAUAUCGGAAGGAACACCUGUGGCGAAAGCGGCUCACUGGACCAUUUCUGACGCUGAUGCACGAAAGCUAGGGGAGCAAACAGGAUUAGAUACCCCCGUAGUCCCUGUCUCUUAUACA